RNAcentral lists this ribosomal RNA (775 nucleotides) under uncultured Neocallimastigales. RNAcentral's name for it is "partial large subunit ribosomal RNA". It matches the Rfam family "Eukaryotic large subunit ribosomal RNA", at positions 22 to 635 of the family's 3401-position model. Lineage: Eukaryota; Fungi; Neocallimastigomycota; Neocallimastigomycetes; Neocallimastigales. The record is from RNAcentral.
GUACACGCUGUGACUAGCAUAUCAAUAAGCGGAGGAAAAGUAACUAACAAGGAUUCCCCUAGUAACGGCGAGUGAAGCGGGAAGAGCUCAAAUUUGAAAUCUUAAAGGGUUUUCCCUUUACGAAUUGUAGUUUAAAGAAGUGUUUUCUGUUGAGGUUUUGGUAAAAGUUCUUUGGAAUAGGACAUCAUAGAGGGUGAGAAUCCCGUAUUUGACCUUUACUUUCAACUUUGUGAUACACUUUCAAAGAGUCGGAUUGUUUGGGAAUGCAGUCCAAAAUGGGUGGUAAAUUUCAUCUAAAGCUAAAUAUUGGCGAGAGACCGAUAGCGAACAAGUACCGUGAGGGAAAGAUGAAAAGAACUUUGAAAAGAGAGUUAAACAGUACGUGAAAUUGUCAAAAGGGAAGCGUUUGACACCAGUGUUGUUUUUCUGAAAAUCAAUUAAAGAACUGUUUAUGCUAAGUUGUUUAGACUUUAUCAGCUAACUGUUUAGUUUUGAGCUUUUCUUUAAUGCACUUUUCAGUUAACAAGUCAACAUCAAUUUCUUUUGCUGUAAAAAAGCUUGAGGAAGGUGGCUUGAGAUUCGUCUUAAGUGUUUAUAGCCUCUUGCCUAUGCAGUCGGAGAGAUUGAGGUCUGCAGCGUAGAUCCUUCGGGGCUAAAUGCAUUUGUGCUAAGUUAUAGCAUUUUAUAGACAACUUGUUGACUAUGAUUUGUCUUGUAGCUUACUCGCUUAUGUUAUUUUACCUACGCUUAGGAUGUUGAAGAUGUAGCACAUCAU